ACAGAGACAGAGUCCCCUUUCAGCGGGCUGAGGGCAGCUGGCGGAUGCACUAGCCGGGCUGAGGGUCAGGAAUAGCCUUGUGGCCGCUUGUGCUCCUCUGGCUCCUCCCAAUGAGGGUCCUCUAGUGGAGCCUCCCAAUGGGGCUCCUCUACCCUCAGCAGUGCCCUUGGUCACCAGGUCCUGUCUUGGUGCCAACAAAUUCAGUCCUCAAACCAUCUACUGAGCACCUGCUCUGGGCUAGGAGCCCUGGAGCCCUGAUACAACCAAGAGGUAGAGCCCGGAGUAUUGUUCUUGCUGAGGAGAAGCUUCUGGAAGGUUCAGCCACAAAGAUGUCAUCUGAGAUCAGCUUUGAAAACAUUGGACAGGAGCAGGUUCGAGAAUGGGAGGAGGAAAGGAGGGUUCUCCUAAGUAUUCAAAUUAGCACCACCUCGUCCACCACAGGGCGUUAGAUAAGAAAAAAGAAUCCUGCCAGUAUCAGACACCUGCGCAGAUAGGGUAAGCGAGAGUCCUGGGAGCCCCUCAGAUUCCUAACCUGGACUGCUCUGGAGCCCUUCCACCAUCUGUUCCUUUCAGACAAACAGGAGGAGCAGCAGGUGUCCGGAGAAUGUGCUAGGGGCCUCCUAGUAUGAGCAGUCCCAACAUACUGCGUGAAGGCAGAAGGAGGAGCACACUACACAGAUAAUCCUCACAGAAACGCAGGAUGAAAAACCAGCCCAAACAGAAACGUCCACCCCACACAAUGAAGAAGGUGGUCAUAUGGAUGCAUUUGCGUUAACUGGAUGGGGCCGGUAACUAAGCUUGUGGCUCUCACUCCACAUCUGCCUCCUAGCCCUACUCUGAGAGGCCACAGGGGCGUGACAGGGAGCCCUGGAGACCGCACGCCGAGGUCCCUGUGAGCUGCUGGCAAUUGCUUGGCCCUGGGAGUGGCCGUUCCUUCCAGCCACAGGUAGCAGCAUCACCCUCAGAGACCCCAGCACUGGCUAAGCAGCAGCCCCCUCUCCAGAGCUCCCUCACAGGAUGUGCGUCCCAGACCCACGGGGCGCCUUCUCCACCAUGCACUGGCCCCGCUGCCAGCUGUGAGGCUCAGCACCGUGGGCCUUUGACCAAGCUGUCAAAUUUGUUCCCCAGCCCUAGGGUAGUAACUGUGGCUCACAGUUCUGCCACCUCCCUGACACUUCACAGUUCUUUUUACCCUUUGGCACCUCAUCAACUUUAUACCUGGUUAACAAUCCUUGCUAUUACAUCCUCUGCUCAAAUAA
This 1259-nucleotide long non-coding RNA is filed under the name Homo sapiens (human). RNAcentral's name for it is "HSALNT0309838". Lineage: Eukaryota; Metazoa; Chordata; Mammalia; Primates; Hominidae. The record is from RNAcentral.